This 107-nucleotide small nuclear RNA is filed under the name Dasypus novemcinctus (nine-banded armadillo). Lineage: Eukaryota; Metazoa; Chordata; Mammalia; Cingulata; Dasypodidae. The record is from RNAcentral.
GUGCUCACUUCGGCAGCAUAUAUGCUAAAAUUGGAACAAUUUGGAGAAUAUUAGCAUAGGCUCUGGGUAAGGUUGACACACAAAUUUGUGGAGUGUUCCAUAUUGAA